RNAcentral lists this ribosomal RNA (434 nucleotides) under Margarya melanioides dianchiensis. Its description in RNAcentral is "partial 16S ribosomal RNA". It matches the Rfam family "Bacterial large subunit ribosomal RNA", at positions 1923 to 2575 of the family's 2925-position model. Lineage: Eukaryota; Metazoa; Mollusca; Gastropoda; Architaenioglossa; Viviparidae. The record is from RNAcentral.
UUAAACGGCCGCGGUAUUUUGACCGUGCAAAGGUAGCAUAAUCAGUUGUCUUAUAAUUGAAGACUGGAAUGAAUGGUUAAACGAAAUUAGAGCUGUUUCAUUUGUAUUUAUUGGAAAUUGGCUUUUAAAUGAAGAGAUUUAAAUUUGAUUAAGGGACAAGAAGACCCUAUUGAGCUUUAAAUAAUUUUGAGGGUUAAAGUUAUUAUAAAGAUCUAUGAUCUUUAGUAUUUUUUUAGUUGGGGCGACUAAGGAACAGGCGAAGCUUCCUUUAUUUAUUUAAUUGAUAGAUUUUGAUCCUGUAUUACUGAUUAAGAGAAAUAGUUACCAUAGGGAUAACAGCAUAAUCUUCUUGGAGAGUUCUUAUUAAAAAGGGGGGUUGUGACCUCGAUGUUGGACUAAAAUAUCCUAAGGGUGUAGAAGCUUUUAAGGGUUGG